CGAACAAAUACCACCCCUCUGGCUCGUUAAACAUCAAAGACUGAUUCAAUUGCUACCUCUGUCUGUGCGGCCAGCGUUCGUACAGCCGAACGCCACGUGGCAGAGAAAACCGCGGCCAUCUUUGUUCAUGCGAACAAAGGCAGCGGGACUUGGUCGUCGAGUGUAUGGAACUGAAAACGGACACUCGACUUCCCGAACACCGGUCUCAAACAGACGAACGCUGGAACUCUAC
RNAcentral lists this long non-coding RNA (232 nucleotides) under Pelobates cultripes (western spadefoot toad). Lineage: Eukaryota; Metazoa; Chordata; Amphibia; Anura; Pelobatidae. The record is from RNAcentral.